GGCGUGGAUAAGACAUGCAAGUCGAACGAGAGAAUUGCUAGCUUGCUAAUAAUUCUCUAGUGGCGCACGGGUGAGUAACACGUGAGUAACCUGCCCCCGAGAGCGGGAUAGCCCUGGGAAACUGGGAUUAAUACCGCAUAGUAUCGAAAGAUUAAAGCAGCAAUGCGCUUGGGGAUGGGCUCGCGGCCUAUUAGUUAGUUGGUGAGGUAACGGCUCACCAAGGCGAUGACGGGUAGCCGGUCUGAGAGGAUGUCCGGCCACACUGGAACUGAGACACGGUCCAGACACCUACGGGUGGCAGCAGUCGAGAAUCAUUCACAAUGGGGGAAACCCUGAUGGUGCGACGCCGCGUGGGGGAAUGAAGGUCUUCGGAUUGUAAACCCCUGUCAUGUGGGAGCAAAUUAAAAAGAUAGUACCACAAGAGGAAGAGACGGCUAACUCUGUGCCAGCAGCCGCGGUAAUACAGAGGUCUCAAGCGUUGUUCGGAAUCACUGGGCGUAAAGCGUGCGUAGGCUGUUUCGUAAGUCGUGUGUGAAAGGCGCGGGCUCAACCCGCGGACGGCACAUGAUACUGCGAGACUAGAGUAAUGGAGGGGGAACCGGAAUUCUCGGUGUAGCAGUGAAAUGCGUAGAUAUCGAGAGGAACACUCGUGGCGAAGGCGGGUUCCUGGACAUUAACUGACGCUGAGGCACGAAGGCCAGGGGAGCGAAAGGGAUUAGAUACCCCUGUAGUCCUGGCAGUAAACGGUGCACGCUUGGUGUGCGGGGAAUCGACCCCCUGCGUGCCGGAGCUAACGCGUUAAGCGUGCCGCCUGGGGAGUACGGUCGCAAGAUUAAAACUCAAAGAAAUUGACGGGGACCCGCACAAGCGGUGGAGUAUGUGGCUUAAUUCGAUGCAACGCGAAGAACCUUACCUGGGCUUGACAUGUAAUGAACAACAUGUGAAAGCAUGCGACUCUUCGGAGGCGUUACACAGGUGCUGCAUGGCCGUCGUCAGCUCGUGUCGUGAGAUGUUUGGUUAAGUCCAGCAACGAGCGCAACCCCUGUUGCCAGUUACCAGCACGUGAAGGUGGGGACUCUGGCGAGACUGCCCAGAUCAACUGGGAGGAAGGUGGGGACGACGUCAGGUCAGUAUGGCCCUUAUGCCCAGGGCUGCACACGUACUACAAUGCCCAGUACAGAGGGGGCCGAAGCCGCGAGGCGGAGGAAAUCCUGAAAACUGGGCCCAGUUCGGACUGUAGGCUGCAACCCGCCUACACGAAGCCGGAAUCGCUAGUAAUGGCGCAUCAGCUACGGCGCCGUGAAUACGUUCCCGGGUCUUGUACACACCGCCCGUCACAUCAUGGAAGCCGGUCGCACCCGAAGUAUCUGAAGCCAACCGCAAGGAGGCAGGGUCCUAAGGUGAGACUGGUAACUGGGAUGAAG
This 1424-nucleotide ribosomal RNA is filed under the name uncultured organism. RNAcentral's name for it is "SSU rRNA". It matches the Rfam family "Bacterial small subunit ribosomal RNA". The record is from RNAcentral.